UGUCUUCCCUGACAAAUUGAGGCUGUUCUGAGGGCAAAAGUGGGUGCCACUACAUUAUUAGGAAGGUGUUCCUUGUUUUGUACACUCGGUGUGUUAGUCUCCAGCAUUAUAAAGUUAUGUGAAAAAUACAUCAACUCACAGUGCAGUAAAACCGGGGUUUAAGUUGUUAGAAUGUCAGCUUCUAUUGCAGUGACCCACCUUCCUGGACAGGUGAGGUUAAAUGGGUAUAAUGGUUUAAAGUGAGUCCAGGGGUUAAAUACCAGGCGUUAAAAUGUCAGCGGGAGUACGAGUUGAUAAAAUCACAAAAUGAUCGAGGUAUACUACAGUGUGUAGUAUAGUAUUCUACAACAGUGUGUAGUAUAGUGAUCUACAGUUUACUACAUAAUUAUAUAGUAAAUACUGCAUCAUUCUAUUGUAAACUGUAGCAUUUUUUUAUGUGUGUUUGUGAAUACCUUGAGUGUGUGUUUGUGAAUACCUUGAGUGUGUGUUUGUGGGCGUUAGUGACUUAGUACUAUGUGACGCUCUACACACCGCUUUACGUAAUGAGGGAAUUUUGCCUCUCCUCCAUCUCCUCCUCUAAUUUCUUCCUUCCUCCCUCCCUUCCUCUUCUUUCUCAUUGUUGCUCUCAUCCUCUUCUUCCUUCUCCUCCUCUUCUCUCUCAUUCCUGUCUCUCCGAAGUCAAGCCGUGAGUUUUUGUCAGAAAGGAACAAGUGAUCUAGCUCACUCCUUUCCUCUUUCUCUCUCUCUCCCUCCCCUUCCAUAUCUCUCACUCUCUCUCCCCCCUCUCUCUCUCUCUCCCUCCCUGUGCUCAACAUUCCUCUUUCUCCUGUUCGAUCACUCCUCUCUCUCUCUCUCUCUCUCUCUCUCUCUCUCUCUCUCCCUUUCUCUGGUUCACACCCUCCUCUCCUCUCCCGAUCAGUCUCUAUGUGAAGGGAGUUCCGUAUGGUUACAGACUCGUAUGGUGGAAGAAGUCAAAGCAAGGUAGUAAAAUGGAUUGGUGUCAGUCCGAGCGAUGGAAAGGGCAGAAAGUGGAAGAGAACAGAUCCCAAAGAGAACUUCAAAGAGGAACUUGCAAACUUUGGAAUCAGAGGAACACGCUUACGCCCAUCCCCCGUCCACAACUCCCUAGCAAAACCGAAGCCGACUUGAAGGUAACAGCUCUCACUGUUACACACACACACACACACACACAUACACACACACACACACACACACACACACAUACACACACACACACACACACACACAUACACACACACACACACACACACACACACACACAUACACACACACACACACACACACAUACACACACACACACACACAAGGAGAGACUGAGACAUAGGAUGCACUGUAUAUGUUAGGGAAGCUACAUUAAUUUCCUGUGUUUGCUAAACAUGUCAUAAGCUUCCUUUGGUAUUGUGCUGUUAGCUGUCCCUUGAUGACGUGUGUGUCUGUGUCUGUGUGUCUGUGUGUGUGUGUCUGUGGGAGGAGCAUUCAAUAGAUCAUGGUAAUGUAAAAGUAUAACUCACAAUUGUAUCAGGGUUGCUGGAUUUUUCUUAUUUCACCAGCAUAUUUCCCUAAGAUCCUCUGAAGCAGUCGCUUUCAAACUUUUCUUGCCCAGGGAUCCUGAUAUGAUAGCAAAAACGUUUUAAAAUCACUUAUUGUCUUAUCAUCAGGUGAAUGAUAAUGGCAAGUAGAAAUAAUCCACAUUUAAAAUGAAUUGAUAUUUGUAUACAGUUUCAUGGUUUCAUUAUUUUGCCCUCCCCACAGUUCAUUUGAAGAGGAGGUAUAAAACCCUAACAUAGUCUGUUAACUAGACAGGUCAAGAUUUCUUGGCACAUUUUUACAUUGAGCUAAGAGAAAAUAUUGGUUAGUUCUCAAAUAUGCUAUUAUUUAAAGAUAUAGUUGAAUACACUCAGCUACUGUUUUAUUAUUGUUUUAUUACUACUUAUUACUUAUUACCCUAGUUAUUAGUGUAUUAGGGCAGUCUCAUCUGUCAUGGUGCCUUCUUAUUCUGGGAUUUCACUGUGCCCCUGUGUGUGGAGACACCAAUCUGCAUGUUUGAUAUCAGUGGAUAUUAAAUCAUGUUUCACUAAUAUCCCAAACACCAAAUCACACUACAAAAUGAAUGAUGAUGGUUCCCCUAGUCCAGCUGUUUUGAGCUGAUGAGGCUGAAACCCAAUUUUAGACAAGGCUAGAGGGCUACACGAUGGGACUAACUAACCACUUUAGAGGGGGACAUAAACAGGAAAAUUAAGAUAUUUGGGGGGGGGGGGGGGGGGGGGGUUCAUACCAAG
RNAcentral lists this long non-coding RNA (2300 nucleotides) under Oncorhynchus mykiss (rainbow trout). Its description in RNAcentral is "lncRNA (ENSOMYG00000051519.1)". Lineage: Eukaryota; Metazoa; Chordata; Actinopteri; Salmoniformes; Salmonidae. The record is from RNAcentral.